GCAACCCCUCGAGAGUGGCGAACGGGUGAGUAAUAUAUCGGAACGUGCCCAGUCGUGGGGAAUAACGUAGCGAAAGUUACGCUAAUACCGCAUACGAUCUAAGGAUGAAAGCGGGGGAUCGCAAGACCUCGCGCGAUUGGAGCGGCCGAUAUCAGAUUAGGUAGUUGGUGGGGUAAAGGCUCACCAAGCCAACGAUCUGUAGCUGGUCUGAGAGGACGACCAGCCACACUGGAACUGAGACACGGUCCAGACUCCUACGGGAGGCAGCAGUGGGGAAUUUUGGACAAUGGACGCAAGUCUGAUCCAGCCAUUCCGCGUGCAGGAUGAAGGCCCUCGGGUUGUAAACUGCUUUUGUACGGAACGAAAAGGUUUCUAUUAAUACUAGGAGCUCAUGACGGUACCGUAAGAAUAAGCACCGGCUAACUACGUGCCAGCAGCCGCGGUAAUACGUAGGGUGCAAGCGUUAAUCGGAAUUACUGGGCGUAAAGCGUGCGCAGGCGGUUAUAUAAGACAGAUGUGAAAUCCCCGGGCUCAACCUGGGAACUGCAUUUGUGACUGUAUAGCUAGAGUACGGUAGAGGGGGAUGGAAUUCCGCGUGUAGCAGUGAAAUGCGUAGAUAUGCGGAGGAACACCGAUGGCGAAGGCAAUCCCCUGGACCUGUACUGACGCUCAUGCACGAAAGCGUGGGGAGCAAACAGGA
This 700-nucleotide ribosomal RNA is filed under the name uncultured beta proteobacterium. Its description in RNAcentral is "bacterial SSU rRNA". It matches the Rfam family "Bacterial small subunit ribosomal RNA", at positions 79 to 777 of the family's 1533-position model. The record is from RNAcentral. Lineage: Bacteria; Pseudomonadati; Pseudomonadota; Betaproteobacteria.